GCAGAUAUGGCCGAGUGGUUAAGGCGACUGACUCGAAAUCAGUUUCCAGCUUGGAGCGUAGGUUCGAAUCCUACUAUCUGCG
Molecule: transfer RNA, 82 nt
Filed under: Daphnia pulicaria
Lineage: Eukaryota; Metazoa; Arthropoda; Branchiopoda; Diplostraca; Daphniidae
Description: tRNA-Ser
Rfam family: tRNA
About the family: Transfer RNA (tRNA) molecules are approximately 80 nucleotides in length.
Source: RNAcentral